GAUUGGUGCCUUCGGGAACUCUGACACAGGUGCUGCAUGGCUGUCGUCAGCUCGUGUYKUGAGAUGUUGGGUUAAGUCCCGUAACGAGCGCAACCCUUGUCCUUAGUUACCAGCACGUUAUGGUGGGCACUCUAAGGAGACUGCCGGUGACAAACCGGAGGAAGGUGGGGAUGACGUCAAGUCAUCAUGGCCCUUACGGCCUGGGCUACACACGUGCUACAAUGGUCGGUACAGAGGGUUGCCAAGCCGCGAGGUGGAGCUAAUCUCACAAAACCGAUCGUAGUCCGGAUCGCAGUCUGCAACUCGACUGCGUGAAGUCGGAAUCGCUAGUAAUCGCGAAUCAGAAUGUCGCGGUGAAUACGUUCCCGGGUCUUGUACACACCGA
Molecule: ribosomal RNA, 385 nt
Filed under: Pseudomonas putida
Lineage: Bacteria; Pseudomonadati; Pseudomonadota; Gammaproteobacteria; Pseudomonadales; Pseudomonadaceae
Description: bacterial SSU rRNA
Source: RNAcentral